CAAAUACAAAGAAUAGUUUAAUUAAAAUAAUAAUUUUGGAGAUUAUUGAUAAAGAGAUUCUUUUUCUUUGA
This 71-nucleotide transfer RNA is filed under the name Hydrillodes lentalis. RNAcentral describes it as "tRNA-Pro". The record is from RNAcentral. Lineage: Eukaryota; Metazoa; Arthropoda; Insecta; Lepidoptera; Erebidae.